GAUGAACGCUGGCGGCGUGCCUAAUACAUGCAAGUCGAGCGAACAGAUGAGGAGCUUGCUCCUCUGACGUUAGCGGCGGACGGGUGAGUAACACGUGGAUAACCUGCCUAUAAGACUGGGAUAACUUCGGGAAACCGGAGCUAAUACCGGAUAAUAUAUUGAACCGCAUGGUUCAAUAGUGAAAGACGGUUUUGCUGUCACUUAUAGAUGGAUCCGCGCCGCAUUAGCUAGUUGGUAAGGUAACGGCUUGCCAAGGCAACGAUGCGUAGCCGACCUGAGAGGGUGAUCGGCCACACUGGAACUGAGACACGGUCCAGACUCCUACGGGAGGCAGCAGUAGGGAAUCUUCCGCAAUGGGCGAAAGCCUGACGGAGCAACGCCGCGUGAGUGAUGAAGGUCUUCGGAUCGUAAAACUCUGUUAUUAGGGAAGAACAAAUGUGUAAGUAACUAUGCACGUCUUGACGGUACCUAAUCAGAAAGCCACGGCUAACUACGUG
This 497-nucleotide ribosomal RNA is filed under the name uncultured bacterium. RNAcentral describes it as "partial 16S ribosomal RNA". It matches the Rfam family "Bacterial small subunit ribosomal RNA", at positions 28 to 507 of the family's 1533-position model. The record is from RNAcentral.